CCUCUGGAGGUGCCUUGGCCGAAGACGUCUGUCAAGAAGCUUGUUCCUUGUCCCGCCUUCCAGGAAUCAAAGCAGACACUAUUGUGAGCUCCCUCUUCCCCGGUCAAAGGAAGUGGAACGAAUGAAAGCACUGUCUCAGAGAAUACUGGAAAUUCAGACAGAGAGACUAAAUUACAAGGAUUUUGAUACAUUUUGGAAACAUGUAACCAGUUCCUAACGAGUGGUGCCAUUUUGUACAGUGAUGCAGUAUCAUUCUGAGGAGGACCCUUCAAUGGAGAAUCUACUUACUACGUAACCUAGAGGCAACCUGAUUGAUUCCAAGUAUUGUGAGCUAAGUGUUUUUCAUUAAUUUUAUUACUGCUCUGCUAAUGAAGACAGAUGUCAGAUGGCAACCAGUUUAUCCAGGCAGUAUAAGAUGUUAUUUGACUUCCCAAUUUAUUAGUGAUGAUGAUUCAUUGCAAUGACAAUGGAGAAAAACAGAUGACUUAGAAUUCAUGAUGAGGUAAUUCUGCAUCUCUCAGUCUUGGUAAUGAAUCACUAUUCUCCUAUCCUCCCUUGACCUAAUUUUCAAAACUGUGUAGUUGUAUUGAAUAAUAUGACGAAGAUGGUAUCUAUUAAUCUUCUGUAUUUCUUUCUAGUUUAUAGGUAGGCAUCAACUGCUGACUGAAGAAAAUAAUGCCAAAGCAGAGACAUAAGACUUGUUGAGGUUCAGAGAUGUCUUCAUUGGGUCGCUGUCUACAAUGGUCCCAAGAUUGGAGAAGUUUACAACUAAUUCGCUUCUCAUCAGAGUGCAUGAGCUGUUUAAUGUGCGCCCUCCAAAGCGAUUUACUGCACAGAAGGCAACAGAAUUCAAUCUGCCAAGAGUUUGAGACAGCAUUCCUCCCAGAUAACUGGAUUACCUGAAUGCAAGGUCCUAGGGGAUGAUUUAAAAGCUCAAAAUACAGCAACUUUACUUCAGCAAGCCUGAUCAAUGCCUCCAGGGUAACCACUUCCAAACCUCACCUGCUCCACCUUGGAUUUUCUGAUGGAAGAAAAGAUGAGUACGGAAUCAACAAACAUUUAUUUACACAAGCUGGGAGGGAAUUGCAAUAUAACUUUGAUUGAUGAUACAUUGUACCUCUGUGCAAAGCUGUGUUGCUUGCACAUGUUCAGAAACAAAUAGCAAUUUGUCUUGGCAACAUCCACACACCUUGCAUAUUCUGCCAGCAGCUUCCUUUCUUUAUUGUGCAGAGUUUGGUCCUGUAAUGGUGGUGUGUAGUGUGGGGACCAUCAUAUGGGCUAAUACA
Long non-coding RNA from Sphaerodactylus townsendi, 1286 nucleotides. RefSeq lists it as uncharacterized. The record is from RefSeq and is a predicted model, not a curated record. Lineage: Eukaryota; Metazoa; Chordata; Lepidosauria; Squamata; Sphaerodactylidae. The transcript is spliced from 5 exons.